AGAGUUUGAUCAUGGCUCAGGAUGAACGCUAGCUACAGGCUUAACACAUGCAAGUCGAGGGGAAACGACAUCGAAAGCUUGCUUUCGAUGGGCGUCGACCGGCGCACGGGUGAGUAACGCGUAUCCAACCUGCCCACCACUUGGGGAUAACCUUGCGAAAGUAAGACUAAUACCCAAUGAUAUCUCUAGAAGACAUCUGAAAAGAUAAGUAAUCUAUCGGUGAUGGAUGGGGAUGCGUCUGAUUAGCUUGUUGGCGGGGUAACGGCCCACCAAGGCAACGAUCAGUAGGGGUUCUGAGAGGAAGGUCCCCCACAUUGGAACUGAGACACGGUCCAAACUCCUACGGGAGGCAGCA
Molecule: ribosomal RNA, 355 nt
Filed under: uncultured bacterium
Lineage: Bacteria
Description: bacterial SSU rRNA
Rfam family: Bacterial small subunit ribosomal RNA
Source: RNAcentral